CGGUUCAUCGAUCGCGCCGGUGUCCCGCAAGGGACUUAAAUGGGAACGCGGUGCGGGAGGGUUGCCUCCCUAAUCCGCGGCUGUCCCUGCAACUGUGAGCGGCGAGCAAGGCAUGGAUCGGCCGGACCCUGAAGAUGGGACGGUCAGCCACUGGAGCGAUCCGGGAAGGCCCCAUGCCGACGCUAUGACCCGCAAGCCAGGAGACCUGCCGGAGCAAAGGUCGCUCU
RNAcentral lists this non-coding RNA (227 nucleotides) under Sphingobium sp. EP60837. The record is from RNAcentral. RNAcentral also lists the same sequence under 1 other name. Lineage: Bacteria; Pseudomonadati; Pseudomonadota; Alphaproteobacteria; Sphingomonadales; Sphingobiaceae.